CGGCUACCACUUACGGAUGGACCCGCGGCGCAUUUGGGGGGGGGAGAGGUAACGGCUCACCAAGGCAACGAUGCGUACCCAACCUGAGAGGGUGAUCGGGCACACUGGGACUGAGACACGGCCCAAACUCCUGCGGGAGGGGGGAAUAUGGAAUCUUCGGCAAUGGACCAAAGUCUGACCGACCACCGCCGCGUGAAUGAUUUAGGUUUUCGAAUCUCAUUCCUCUGUUAUAAAGAUAGAACAAGUACCCCUCGAGUAGAGCGGUCCGUUGACUGUACCUAACCAGAAGGUCACUGCUAACUACGUGCAGCG
Molecule: ribosomal RNA, 312 nt
Filed under: uncultured Bacillus sp.
Lineage: Bacteria; Bacillati; Bacillota; Bacilli; Caryophanales; Bacillaceae
Description: partial 16S ribosomal RNA
Rfam family: Bacterial small subunit ribosomal RNA
Source: RNAcentral